RNAcentral lists this ribosomal RNA (459 nucleotides) under uncultured bacterium. RNAcentral describes it as "partial 16S ribosomal RNA". It matches the Rfam family "Bacterial small subunit ribosomal RNA", at positions 338 to 795 of the family's 1533-position model. The record is from RNAcentral.
CCUACGGGUGGCAGCAGUGAGGAAUAUUGGUCAAUGGCCGAGAGGCUGAACCAGCCAAGUCGCGUGAGGGAAGAAUGUCCUAUGGAUUGUAAACCUCUUUUGUCAGGGAGCAAAGUCACCCACGUGUGGGUGUUGGAGAGUACCUGAAGAAAAAGCAUCGGCUAACUCCGUGCCAGCAGCCGCGGUAAUACGGAGGGUGCGAGCGUUAUCCGGUUUUAUUGGGUUAAAGGGGUGCGUAGGCGGGUUAUCAAGUCAGCGGGAAAAUCGUGGAUCUCAACUCCAUCCAGCCGUUGAAACUGAUGAUCUUGAGUGGGCGAGAGGUAUGCGGAAUGCGUGGUGUAGCGGUGAAAUGCAUAGAUAUCACGCAGAACUCCGAUGGCGAAGGCAGCAUACCGGCGCCCGACUGACGCUGAAGCACGAAAGCGUGGGUAGCGAACAGGAUUAGAUACCCCGGUAGUC